GACAGAGGCCUCGAGCGUUAGGCGGAAUCACUGGGCUUAAAGCGUGAGUAGGCGGAUCGUUAAGUGCCUUGUGAAAUCCCACGGCUUAACUGUGGAACGGCUGGGCAUACUGGCGGUCUUGAGCCAUCUAGGGGCGACUGGAACAAACGGUGGAGCGGUGAAAUGCGUAGAUAUCGUUUGGAACGCCAAUGGUGAAAACAGGUCGCUGGGGAUGAGCUGACGCUGAGACACGAAAGCCAGGGGAGCAAACGGG
This 253-nucleotide ribosomal RNA is filed under the name uncultured bacterium. RNAcentral describes it as "partial 16S ribosomal RNA". It matches the Rfam family "Bacterial small subunit ribosomal RNA", at positions 524 to 776 of the family's 1533-position model. The record is from RNAcentral.